This 406-nucleotide ribosomal RNA is filed under the name uncultured bacterium. RNAcentral's name for it is "partial 16S ribosomal RNA". It matches the Rfam family "Bacterial small subunit ribosomal RNA", at positions 29 to 526 of the family's 1533-position model. The record is from RNAcentral.
AUUGAACGCUGGCGGCAGGCUUAACACAUGCAAGUCGAGCGAGCGGCGGACGGGUGAGUAAUGUCUGGGAAACUGCCUGAUGGAGGGGGAUAACUACUGGAAACGGUAGCUAAUACCGCAUACCAUCAGAUGUGCCCAGAUGGGAUUAGCUGGUGGGGGGGGGAAUGGCUAACCUGGGCGACGAUCCCUAGCUGGUCUGAGAGGAGGACCAGCCACACGGGAACGGAGACACGGUCCAGACGCCUACGGGAGGCAGAAGGGGGGAAUAUUGCAAAAUGGGCGAAAGCCUGAUGCAGCCAUGCCGCGUGUGUGAAGAAGGCCUUCGGGUUGUAAGGCACGUUCAGCGAGGAGGCGUUACUCGCAGAAGAAGCACCGGCUAACUCCGUGCCAGCCGCCGCGGUAAUAC